This is a non-coding RNA of Potamilus streckersoni, 73 nucleotides long. Lineage: Eukaryota; Metazoa; Mollusca; Bivalvia; Unionida; Unionidae. The record is from the annotation of a GenBank genome assembly.
GCUCCAUUGGCCUAGUGGUUAGAGUGUCCACCUCAGAUGUGGGAGGUUGCGGGUUUUAAUCCUGGCUGAUGCA